UUCUGUUGAACAUAGACUACUCGAAUACACUUGUAUUUUAACUGUCACCUUCAUAUUCAUGUCAAUAUAAAGACACUCAUAUAUUGGGAUUGAUGGAGGCCAUAGUUUAAUCCAAAAUGUAAAAUAACCAAAUGGGAUGAGGAAUUGGCUUGGAUUUGGACAAACUUUGACUUGAUGUUCUGUUGGAUUAUUAGGAUGUUACUUUCCUCUUCGCCAACCAGAUAUUGAAAAAAUAAAUCACAAAAUAUAUUUUGCACCCUAACCAAAUACAAGAAAAAUAGAUGAAAAGUAACUUAUUUUCCAUAAAAUAUAUACAUACAUGGGCACAUUCGAUUUAGCGGUGACAAAGAGAGCACCACAAAGCCUAAACAUUUUUCCCGUCUUUAUCAGACCAAUGGAAAGGGUCGUCAAUGCGUGUUAUAAACCGUGUAGAAAUCCUGAAAUAGGAGUUGGAAGUUGUUAGGAAGCUUCAUUUUAAUCCUUUGAUUGAAAAGUAGAGAAAAGAAGAGAAUGCAUGCCUAUUUGACCAUUGGAUUGAACAGGCAUUUCAUUAUUGAAAAUCUUAGCAUAUGUUACGUUAAUCAUGAAGUAACAUCACCAUACAGAUUAUCUUAUAACUAGUUUCUGGGCACGUGCAUUUCAUCGUGUAUGUCGAGUCAUGUAAUACGUAAUUUUAUAAAAUAAUGCAAUAUUAUUAAAAUAAACUUUUGAGUAAUUAUUAUACAUGAAAGAUUAAAGUACAAGAAAUAUACUAUUCGUUAUACUUUGGGUCCAAAUAUACUUCUGUCGUAAACUAUUGGUUCAAAUAUACCCUUCUUUUGUUAAGUUUGUCCAAGGUGAACAUUCAAUCCUACGUGACACUGAUAUUUGAUGAGAUGGAUACCACAUGACAUGCCACCUCAGCGCCCCUAACCCAUUUUACCCCUCCCUUUUAUUUUUUUCCACGACUAAAACUUGAUUCCCCUCCACUAUUUUCACCAUUACCAAUACCAUGAAAAAUAUUAUAUUUCUAAUUUUAGUCUUUUAUGGCAUCCACAUCAUUAAAUAUCAGUGCCACGUAGGAGCGGAUGUCCACUUUGGACAAAUUUAAUGGAAAAUGAGUUUAUUUGAACCAAUAGUAUAACUAGGGGUGCACAAAUAAAACCGACAAACCGCACCAACCCGAUAAUUCGAGUCAAACCGAGAAAAAAAAAUCCGACUAUGGUUUGGUUUGAUUGGUUUGGUGUUGGAAAAUAAAACCCGACGAUAUUUGGUUUGGUUUGAUUUUAACUAAAAAAAGUCAAACCGAAACCAAACCAACCCGACAUUAUAUGUAUAGAAGUUUUAAAUAUAUUUAAUGCAUGAAAAUAUUUAUUGUAGUGUAGUUUAGAAAUAUUUCUUAAAUAUUUUCAUAAUUUUAUCUUUUAACGUAUUAUUCUAAGCUUGGACUUAUAAUUUUUGGAUGCUCCAAUAAGUUUUAUAGUCCAUAAAUAUUAGUAACUCAAAAAAAUCCUAAACUAAAAUCAAAUCAAUACUAAUGAUAAUAAAAGACAUUCAAUUCAAUUGUACUAUGAAUGAAAAUAGUGUUGGAUAUCUAUUUUUUAGUUUUUUCAUGGUUUAGAUAAAAUGCAUAACUUAUUUUUCUUUUAGUGUUUAGUCAUGUAAAUAAUAGUACUUAUUAGUCGUACUUAUUUUAGCAACUUAUUCGUAAUUUUAAAUUAUAUUUGUUUUCAUUAUAGCUUAUUAAUAAUAUUUAUUUUAUGCGAUUUUCUCAUCUUUAUUGUUGAAUAUUUUAGUACAAUGCCAUGAAUCAUUUCAUAUUUAUAUUAUUUUAUUAAAAACACCUUAUAUAGUUCUACCUUACUAGGAUUAAAAAAAUAUUUGGAGCACAAAUUCUAUGUUUUGUGCUAUGAAAACUUUAUGAAAAAAAUUCGAGAAAAACAGAGAUUUAAAAACCCGACUUUGAUUGGUUUGGUUUGGUUUUUAGAUUUAAUAACCCGAUAUAAUUAGUUUGAUUUGGUAAUUAAAAAAUCCGAACCAACCCGACCUAUAUACACCCCUAAGUAUAACAACAAGUAUAUAUAUGGGCUCAAAGUAUAACAAUAUGUACAUUUAAACUUUUACUGAUAGUACUCUGAGAUAUAUUUGAUAAAGACAAUACCAAUUUGUUUCUCAUUCAAGCUAUUAGCAUUUAAAACAUGUAAAUUUCAAUUAAAGAGGCUGAUGCGCCGUUGGACGUGACAAACUACUGAACUAUCAAUUAAAAUUGACUUGUACAAUCUCAACUAUAUAUAUAUAUAUGGCGUCAUGUUUGAUGGAUAGGAGUGAAGGAAGCUUCCCAUUUCUUUCUUUAAAACCACUUAUUCUAGAAUCCUUUUCUUCCCUAUUUAAUGAUGAAUUGAUCAUUUUCAAUAUUCAUUCCCCAUCAUAUGAUCUGAUUCUGUCAAUGCUUUCCUGUUUUAUACGAACUCCAAAAAAACAAGUUCACGUACGGCCAUAUAUAUAUCCAGCUAACUAGUAUAGGAUGAUGGAGGAUCAAGACAUACAGUGGAGGAAUUGACCUUGAAGCUCAGGGGAAUUCGCCGCUGCUAAUUACUGAUGAGGAGGUCAGCUCUCAUUGUCCGAUCUGCUCAGAUGUUCAUUGAAGCUGGAGCAAAAAUAGCAUCUCUUUCUCGAGUGACGUCAUCCUCCACCAUCAAUAUUUAUGCUCCUCUUAACAGCUUUAAUCUUCAACAAUAUGGAGUACGUAUAUAAACAUAUAUACCUCUCCUUCUUCAUUAUAGCUAAAGUACCAUCUUAAUUUUAAGUUAUAUAUACUGCAUGCAUUAAUAACACUACUAUUAUUCUCUUUCUAACUAGGAAUUGGAAGCUUCUGGAGAUCAAAUACAGCUUGAUGAAGUUGUCGCAGCUUCACCUGAUGGUGCCUGGCAUGUUAAUAUUGUACAAUCAGACAAUGAUCAUAUUGAGAUUGAGCUUCAGCCUCAUCAGCAUUGCUUACAGAUUAGCAAGAUUAAUGAGAUUGUGAAGGAGAAGAACAUGGAUUCACUUCACAAUUUUGGAGGAGUAAAGGGGGUUGUAGAAGCAUUGAGUAGUGAUGUCGAGAAAGGAAUUCAUGUUGGAGACAUUUCUCGCCGCAAGGGGAUAGACUUGUCUCAUCACAUGACCUUCACUGAGUAUGGCCACUUCUUCCUACAAUUAGCACGCAAGGAACCAACAAUUUUGCUCCUUGCAGUGGCUGCAAUAUUGUCAUUUGCUUUUGGAAUCAAUGAAGAAGGUAUGCAGAAUGGCUGGUUUGAAGGAGCACUUUUGCUUGUGAUCAUAUUUGUGACUGUACUGAUUAAGAUAGCAAGAAUUUGGUACCAAAGGCGCUGUUGGAAGAAGCAAAAUGAUCACAAAGCAAACGCGAUACAAGUUAUGAGAGGAGGCAAAGAAGUGGCAAUCUCGGCCUCAGAUAUUGUUUACGGCGACAUAGCCUUCGUGAAGAAAGGACAUUCUGUUCCUGCACAUGGUUUGUUUGUUUCGGGUGAAGCAUUAGAGCUGUUCCAGCUGGAUGAUGGAAUAUUGUCCAUCGUCAAUGAGAAAAGUCCAUUUUUGCCUCCUGGUUCUAAGGUGAUUAAUGGUGAUGCUAGAAUGAUUGUUACAAGUGUUCAAGUGGACAAACCAAGCCAAGAAAACAAGAUUUCUGAAACGGAGUCCAAUUUUUGUGCCUACUUUGACAAGUUGAGCAAUUGCAUACAUAUUGGUGGGCUAUUGAUUAGCAUUUUGAUCAUUUUGGUGGUGUUCUUGCGCUUUAAAUUGGGCAAGAAAGAUGACGAGAACGGAUAUAGGUUAGAAACCAAGGGAGAACCAGCUGAACUUGCAUCAAUAGUGAAUGCCAUGAAGAAGGUUUUAACAGAAACAAAGGAAACAGCAAGAGUUUGGAUAGCUUUACUCGGUGUUACAAUGUUGGGGAUGACUGAAGGAAUACCAUUUCUUGUUUCAAUUGCAAUAGCAUAUUGGAAUUUAGAUGUUAAGAUGGAACCAGUCACCACUAUCUGUAUAGAAAAGGCUAGCUGGUUGAAAGAGCAAAAAUUGGAAGUUACUCAGUUUUUUCUUGGCAAAAAAGAUGUCACCGAGAUACCGCCACAUGUCUGCAGUGUUCUCUCUGAUGGAAUUGUUGUGUCCACUCUGACUUCUCAAAGAGCCUACCACAGAAUAGAAGAACCAAUACUAUGUUGGGCCGAGAAGAACACGGGUAUGCAAAGAGAGACUUUUGAUCAGCAGUGCACCAUAGUGAAUGACAAUGAUAUUGAGAUGAACCCUUUAGAAGAACCUUGUGGAGUUGUCAUAGAGAAAAAUGGAGACAAUGGGAAAGAGUACUAUUCACACUUCAAGGGCCCUGCUGAAUCAAUAUUGUCCAAGUGUUCCAGUUACUAUGACUUAGAAGGUCAAGUACAGCCCUUGGAUGAUGAAAGAAAGAGUGACUUUGCUCGAGUUAACAACAAUGUGAACGUAGUUGCAUUUGCCUGCAAACGUACUCAGGUUGCCGAACUUGAUGAAAAUGGGCUAACAUUCAUUGGUAUGCUUGUCUUAGAAGAUAGUACUAUCAAUCUGGACAACAUGAAGCAAGCAAUUGCGACUCUGAAAAAAGGCGGAGUGAAGACCAUAUUUGCCUCAGAAGAAGAUGUUGAAGUACUUGAUACUAUUGGUCAUGACACAGGAUUGCUCAAUUCACACGAUGCUCUAGUGGUUAAGGGUGAAGAUUUCUACAACUUCACUGCAGAUGAUAGGAAGGAAAAAGUUGAGAAAAUUUUCAUAAUGGGAAAUUCCUCUCCCGCACACAAGCUUCUUCUCAUAGAGUGUUUGAAGAGAAAAGGUGAAGUGGUGGUUGUGGUAGGAGAACAAGUAGCAGGUGAGUGUAAUCAGCUGGUACUUGAAGCAGCUAAUUUUGGCCUGCCUGUGGUGACUAAUGUAAUGAACUGGCCUGAAAUUAUAACUUUCGUGAUAAACAGGAUAAAGGGAGGAAGAAUUGUUUGUGAGAAUCUAAGGCAAUGGAUCCAACUUGAGCUAAUCUUGGCAAUCAGUAGCUCAUCAAUAAACUUCAUACUGGUUAUAUGCAACAGAGAUGCCCCAUUAACGACAAUUCAGUUAGUUUGGGUUAACCUUCUUGUUACGUUUAUUGGAGGGCCAGCUUUGCUAAUUACUCAACAGACCACAAGAAAACUAAGGGAUGAACUAUCUAUCAAACCGAGAAAACCCCUAGUUACCAAGGUGGUGUGGAGAAACAUACUAUUUCAAGCUAGUUAUCAGACUGGCAUUUUUGUAUAUCUGCAACACCGAGGAAGUGCAAUUCUGUACAUCACUCCAAAAGUUACCAAAAGUGUAGUCUUUAACGGGUUCGCUUUGUGCCAGAUUUUUAACAUGUUCAGUGCAAGGGAGGUGGAACAGAAGAACUUUUUCAAGGGACUUGGCCAAAAUUACUGGUUUUGGGCAGUGUCUGGGCUCUUUCUUGUGUUACAGGUGGGAUUCAUUGAAGUAGAGCCUCUCUUUAGCAAUACGGCACGACUGAAUUGGGAGCAAUGGGGUGGAUGCAUUUUGAUUGGAGCUGUUACAUGGCUGUUUGAUUGGAUAGUAAAAUGGGUAUCAGAAUACAUAAAGAUAGAUAAAUGUGACUGUGGGGUUCUUCACCUAGCUAGAAAGUGCAUAUCCAAUAUUGAUUUCAAGUAUUGCUUUAACAGAAUCAGUUGCUGCCUAAUCAUAUUAUAGCAAGUUCAAACAAAAAAGCUUUCUUUUUCUUCCUAAAAAUUUGGACAUCAAGUUCUAGUUCUUCUUCUUUUGCAGGGCUGGAUAACGAAUAUCGCAUUCACACGUCGUGUGAAAUCAACCAAGUGUAGAGCUAAUACUUUGGUGGAUUAAUCGUAUUGCAGUAGCUGCAGUUUUGAGUACAUCUUUCCCACGUUAUGUUAAUUCUUUCAUUAAGUUUCUCACUGUCACUUGGAUGGAGAAAUGAAGAUGCAAUAUUGUUCUUUUUUCUUUUCCCUUUUAACUAAAUUCAGGAAUGCAAACUUAUUAUGCAGAAAGCAAGAAUUCUAUAAAUUUCAAAUAUAGGAAAUUAAUUUGCUCAAAAUCAGGAUGGAAGCUAGCUAGUCAGUACACAUUCUGCUAAUUUACUGUAGUAAAGGAAGAUUGAUAUCAUAUGCAAAAAUAUAGCUUACCUCAAUGUAGAUUUUCUCAAACUUGGUGUAAAUAAUGUACUAGAGAGCUUUUCUUGAGGAAAAUUUAACUAGCCAGGGAUGCUACUGCAAGAC
This 6266-nucleotide long non-coding RNA is filed under the name Nicotiana tabacum (common tobacco). RNAcentral describes it as "long non-coding RNA (NTAB_LNC006950)". Lineage: Eukaryota; Viridiplantae; Streptophyta; Magnoliopsida; Solanales; Solanaceae. The record is from RNAcentral.